Molecule: ribosomal RNA, 253 nt
Filed under: uncultured bacterium
Lineage: Bacteria
Description: partial 16S ribosomal RNA
Rfam family: Bacterial small subunit ribosomal RNA
Source: RNAcentral
UACGUAGGGUGCAAGCGUUAAUCGGAAUUACUGGGCGUAAAGCGUGCGCAGGCGGUUUUGUAAGUCUGAUGUGAAAUCCCCGGGCUCAACCUGGGAAUUGCGAUGGAGACUGCAAGGCUAGAAUCUGGCAGAGGGGGGUAGAAUUCCACGUGUAGCAGUGAAAUGCGUAGAGAUGUGGAGGAACACCGAUGGCGAAGGCAGCCCCCUGGGUCAAGAUUGACGCUCAUGCACGAAAGCGUGGGGAGCGAACAGG